AACACACCCUAGACAGGGGCAGGGCAGGACACCCCUUCCAAGCCGGCCUAGGCUGGAGCACAUGUCCUCUGAGGCUGCAUUCAGGGCACAAGCCCUGCCAGGACCCAGGGCCCGGGUUGGGGGCCUAGGGCAAGGGCAGCAGGGCCUCUGUCCAGGAGGGGUCUCUGCGGGUGGGGGAGGCCUCUGUUGGGCCUGCUGAGCCCGAUUCCCUCCCUGCCAGCCCUUGCCCUGCGCUGCCACGUGUGCACCAGCUCCAGCAACUGCAAGCAGCCUGCGGUCUGCCCGGCCAGCUCUCGCUUCUGCAAGACCAUGAACACAGUGGAGCCUCUGAAGGGGAAUCUGGUGAAGAAGGACUGUGCGGAGUCGUGCACACCCAACUACACCCUGCAAGGCCAGGUCAGCAGCGGCACCGGCUCCAUCCAGUGCUGCCAGGAGGACCUGUGCAACGAGAAGCUGCACAACGCUGCACCCACCCGCACCG
RNAcentral lists this small RNA (481 nucleotides) under Pongo abelii (Sumatran orangutan). RNAcentral describes it as "retained intron". The record is from RNAcentral. Lineage: Eukaryota; Metazoa; Chordata; Mammalia; Primates; Hominidae.